AACGUAGAAUUAAAAUAAAAAUUUCAGAUGCCCUAAGAAGAUGGAGCUUCAUUGAGACAAAUGGUAAUCAACUAGAGCAUUAUACCACGGCCAAGAACUUCCUUUUCAGGGUUAUGAAAACAUAGUUAAUAAUAAGAGAGUUAGUGCUUAAAAGAACAGAGAGGCAAGCAAUGUGGGAAGCCUAUGGUGAUGGUGGUGGACCCAUGUGCUGCCCACCCACCACAACCCACGAGCCAUUUCACUCCUUGGGGCGGCUCCUUCUGCAACCAAUGGUGCAAACCAUGUGAAAACCAUUGCUCAUUUCAUUGACCAUAAAAUAAAUAUAUAAAAAUUAAAUACAACCCUUUUGUUAUUAUUAUUAUUGUUAUUUCUUCAUUUCUUAAUGGUUAAUUAAAUGGUGUGGAGGUGCACAUAAAUCCAAAAGCACUUCAUUUUCUCGUAUUUGAUGCUGAGUCCUCUUGCUUCUGCAACUUCUCAACUGCUUCCCUUUGUUUUGUAGCUUUCGGCAAAGUGACAUGGAUGGACACACUUGAGAGCUGAGACUCUUUAGUUUUUUGGUACUUUACUCACGUAACGAUAAAACUAAAAAUUUUAAAAAAUUAGAGCGUUACACAGUGUUGGUAUUAUUAAGUACCUGAUGUAAUUUGAAUUGGAUACGUAUGUAUGUUUGUGAUUUGAUUUGAAAUUGAAUAAUAUCUACACCACGCACAAAAUUAUAAAAAGAGUGA
Humulus lupulus (European hop) is the source of this 728-nucleotide long non-coding RNA. RefSeq lists it as uncharacterized. The transcript has 2 exons. The record is from RefSeq and is a predicted model, not a curated record. Lineage: Eukaryota; Viridiplantae; Streptophyta; Magnoliopsida; Rosales; Cannabaceae.